AGGAUCAUUAUCGUACAACGGGGGUGCGAGGGCUGUCGCUGACCUUUCAAAAGGUUGUGCACGCCCGAGCACUCUCACACAAUCCAUCUCACCCCUUUGUGCAUCACCGCGUGGGUCCCCUUUGCAGGAGGGCUCACGUUUUCACACAAAACUUGAUACAGUGUAGAAUGUUACCUUUUGCGGUCACACGCAAUCAAUACAACUUUCAACAACGGAUCUCUUGGCUCUCGCAUCGAUGAAGAACGCAGCGAAAUGCGAUACGUAAUGUGAAUUGCAGAAUUCAGUGAAUCAUCGAAUCUUUGAACGCACCUUGCGCCCCUUGGCAUUCCGAGGGGCACACCCGUUUGAGUGUCGUGAAAUCAUCAAAAAUCNUUUUUUUUGUUUACCAGAAAAGGAUUUUUGGACUUGGAGGUUUAAUGCUCGUCUUUCACUUUUGAAAGUGAGCUCCUCUCAAAUGAAUUAGUGGGGUCCGCUUUGCUGGUCCUUGACGUGAUAAGAUGUUUCUACGUUUUGGAUUUAGCACUGUCCCUUUGGAUUCCUGCUCCUAACUGUCCAACGGACAAAGGAUGGUGCUCCGGUCACCGCCGUCUACAUUGGCGGGGGAGGGCUGGGCCCACGAAAGAAAACCUUGACCUCAAAUCGGGUGAGACUACCCGCUGAACUUAAGCAUAUCAAUAAGCGGAGGAAAAGAAACUAACAAGGAUUCCCCUAGUAACUGCGAGUGAAGCGGGAAAAGCUCAAAUUUAAAAUCUGAUGGU
This 758-nucleotide ribosomal RNA is filed under the name Russula sp. MHM096. RNAcentral describes it as "eukaryotic LSU rRNA". The stretch from base 201 to 354 matches the Rfam family "5.8S ribosomal RNA". The record is from RNAcentral. Lineage: Eukaryota; Fungi; Basidiomycota; Agaricomycetes; Russulales; Russulaceae.